RNAcentral lists this ribosomal RNA (478 nucleotides) under uncultured bacterium. RNAcentral's name for it is "partial 16S ribosomal RNA". It matches the Rfam family "Bacterial small subunit ribosomal RNA", at positions 28 to 523 of the family's 1533-position model. The record is from RNAcentral.
GACGAACGCUGGCGGCGCGCUUAACACAUGCAAGUCGAACGGUAAGGCCCUUCGGGGUACACGAGUGGCGAACGGGUGAGUAACACGUGGGUGAUCUGCCCUGCGCUUCGGGAUAAGCCUGGGAAACUGGGUCUAAUACCGGAUAGGACUCCGGACUGCAUGGUCUGGGGUGGAAAGCUUUUGCGGUGUGGGAUGGGCCCGCGGCCUAUCAGCUUGUUGGUGGGGUGAUGGCCUACCAAGGCGGCGACGGGUAGCCGGCCUGAGAGGGUGACCGGCCACACUGGGACUGAGAUACGGCCCAGACUCCUACGGGAGGCAGCAGUGGGGAAUAUUGCACAAUGGGCGCAAGCCUGAUGCAGCGACGCCGCGUGAGGGAUGACGGCCUUCGGGUUGUAAACCUCUUUCAGCAUCGACGAAGCGAAAGUGACGGUAGGUGCAGAAGAAGGACCGGCCAACUACGUGCCAGCCGCCGCCGUAA